GACGAACGCUGGCGGCGUGCUUAACACAUGCAAGUCGAGCGGUAAGGCCCUUUCGGGGGUACGACGAGCGGCGAACGGGUGAGUAACACGUGGGUGACCUGCCCUUACGCUCUGGGAUAAGCCUGGGAAACUGGGUCUAAUACCGGAUAUGACUCCAUGACGCAUGUUGUGGGGUGGAAAGCCUUGUGCGGCUAGGGAUGGGCCCGCGGCCUAUCAGCUUGUUGGUGGGGUGAUGGCCACCAAGGCGACGACGGGUAGCCGGCCUGAGAGGGC
Molecule: ribosomal RNA, 273 nt
Filed under: uncultured bacterium
Lineage: Bacteria
Description: partial 16S ribosomal RNA
Rfam family: Bacterial small subunit ribosomal RNA
Source: RNAcentral